UCGCCGUAGGAUGGGACUGCGGCCUAUCAGUUUGUCGGUGAGGUAAUGGCCCACCAAGACUAUUACAGGUACGGGCUCUGAGAGGAGUAGCCCGGAGAUGGGUACUGAGACACGGACCCAGGCCCUAUGGGGCGCAGCAGGCGAGAAAACUUUGCAAUGUGCGAAAGCACGACAAGGUUAAUCCGAGUGGUUUCUGCUAAAGAAACCUUUUGUCAGUCCUAGAAACACUGAUGAAUAAGGGGUGGGCAAGUUCUGGUGUCAGCCGCCGCGGUAAAACCAGCACCUCAAGUGGUCAGGAUGAUUAUUGGGCCUAAAGCAUCCGUAGCCGGCUCUGUAAGUUUUCGGUUAAAUCUGUACGCUCAACGUACAGGCUGCCGGGAAUACUGCAGAGCUAGGGAGUGGGAGAGGUAGACGGUACUCGGUAGGAAGGGGUAAAAUCCUUUGAUCUAUUGAUGACCACCUGUGGCGAAGGCGGUCUACCAGAACACGUCCGACGGUGAGGGAUGAAAGCUGGGGGAGCAAACCGGAUUAGAUACCCGGGUAGUCCCAGCUGUAAACUAUGCAAACUCAGUGAUGUAUUGGCUUGUGGCCAAUGCAGUGCUGCAGGGAAGCCGUUAAGUUUGCCGCCUGGGAAGUACGUACGCAAGUAUGAAACUUAAAGGAAUUGGCGGGGGAGCACCACAAGGGGUGAAGCCUGCGGUUCAAUUGGAGUCAACGCCGGG
RNAcentral lists this ribosomal RNA (722 nucleotides) under uncultured Nitrososphaerota archaeon. RNAcentral's name for it is "bacterial SSU rRNA". It matches the Rfam family "Archaeal small subunit ribosomal RNA", at positions 199 to 922 of the family's 1478-position model. The record is from RNAcentral. Lineage: Archaea; Thermoproteati; Nitrososphaerota.